UGACGUGGAAUAGGCAUGAGACGAGU
Molecule: non-coding RNA, 26 nt
Filed under: Homo sapiens (human)
Lineage: Eukaryota; Metazoa; Chordata; Mammalia; Primates; Hominidae
Source: RNAcentral